Molecule: ribosomal RNA, 554 nt
Filed under: uncultured euryarchaeote
Lineage: Archaea; Methanobacteriati; Methanobacteriota
Description: bacterial SSU rRNA
Rfam family: Archaeal small subunit ribosomal RNA
Source: RNAcentral
GGAAUGGCUUCCACGCUGAAAGCUCCGGCGCUCCAGGAUGGGUCUGCGGCCUAUCAGGCUGUAGUGGGUGUAACGGACCCACUAACCUACGACGGGUAGGGGCGUUGAGAGACGGAGCCCCCAGAUGGAUUCUGAGACACNNNNNNAGGCCCUACGGGGCGCAGCAGCUACGAAAANNNCACAAUGUGGGAAACCACGAUGCNNGCAUUCCGAGUGCCAACGCUUUGCGUUGGCUGUUCUCCCGCCUAAAAAGCAGGAGAAGUAAGGGCCGGGUAAGACGGGUGCCAGCCGCCGCGGUAAUACCCGCGGCCCGAGUGGUGCUCAUUAUUAUUGAGCUUAAAGCGUCCGUAGCCGGCCUCGUAAAUCUUUGGGUAAAUCGGGCAGCUCAACUGUUCGAAUUCCGAGGAGACUGCGAGGCUCGGGACCGGGAGAGGUCAGAGGUACUCUCGGGGUAGGGGUAAAAUCCUGUAAUCCUGAGAGGACCACCAGUGGCGAAGGCGUCUGACUAGAACGGAUCCGACGGUGAGGGACGAAGCCCUGGGGCGCAAACGGGA